CAACCCUCAAGCCCUACCUUGUGAACGGCUUGGUGUUGGGGAUCGGCAGCUUUGCCGUCCCCUAAAAGUAUUGGCGGCCCUCCGAGGCGACCUCUGCGUAGUAACUUACCUCGCACUGGGAAGCUUGGAGCGGCCACGCCGUAAAACCCCCGACUUUUAUAA
This 162-nucleotide unclassified non-coding RNA is filed under the name uncultured Lecanicillium. RNAcentral's name for it is "partial internal transcribed spacer 2". The record is from RNAcentral. Lineage: Eukaryota; Fungi; Ascomycota; Sordariomycetes; Hypocreales; Cordycipitaceae.